RNAcentral lists this long non-coding RNA (2153 nucleotides) under Homo sapiens (human). RNAcentral's name for it is "HSALNT0231759". Lineage: Eukaryota; Metazoa; Chordata; Mammalia; Primates; Hominidae. The record is from RNAcentral.
GUGGGGUGGCAGAAGAGGCUGGGGAAGCUGCCUGCUGGGAGUGCUAUUGGGGAGAGACAUUUUCGUUGGAGAGGUUGGCUGCAAAUUCUUUUUCCUCAGUUUUCCCAAAUGUCUCCUUCCCAUAGCGCCAGUCUAGAGGCAUCACCCCCACCACACCACUGACCCUACCACACUCGGGGUGGGUCUCUGAUCAGCUUGAUGGAGCAGCUGGCUUGAAUUUUUAGGAAAAUUCGAACCAAACCAAAUAGAGCACUUUUUUUCUUCAAAAACAGACGUUUAAGAUGUGGCCCUCUGGUGGCUUGCAGCUGCCAGUAGCAUCAGAAAGCACAAGAAUGUCAGACUUCUUUGAAAACUAAAUUCUGCAAGUAAGGGUCUUCCCAACAGCGGGAGGCGGAGGAUGGGAAGAGGGAAAGGUAAGGAACAUGGAAUGACUGUGCCCUGGCUGGAGGGAGCAAGUCCUGGCCAGGCAGCCACCCUGCACCACAAGGCUUCAGAGCUUGGGAGCUGUGAGUCCUUCCAUUGCUCUGAACCAGUUUGCUCUUGUAGGAAGCAGGCACGCCAGUUUCUAUUCCAUCAGGCCACUGGGAAGAGGAAGUUAAAACCUGUUGCCUGUCGCACAGGGGGCUCUCCAUAAAUAAACGUUCAUUGUGGCCACCCAGGUCCCUGCCUUGUGGAGACAGUCUCCAAGGCUGUAGGCACGUCCUCCACCACUGGGCUUCUGCCCUUCACAACAGGGCCUGCACAUGGGUGCAGGUCAAAUCAAUGACUCCCACCUCAGGGAUGCCUUUUUUUUUUUUUUUUUUUUUUUGAUAAGAGACAAAAUUAGGUCAACAUUGAUGAGCCAAAAAUUUGCUAAUGGGGAAAGACAUUGACAUGUCAAGUUCAACUUCUGGUUCCUGUUUGUUUAGGAACUGCCAAGUGGAGAAUGCAGUUCAACAAAUGUUUAAGGGUCUGCCCUGUGCCAGGCAUUGUUCUAGGCACAAGGUCACAAUGGUGACCUGAAUCAAGAUCUCUGCCGUCAAGGAGCUUCCUUCUUACUGGGGUGAGAGACAAUAAGGGGCCUCUUCCUAUAAGGGUCUCUCUUUCCAGGCUGACUCAAGAGCUUCACUCAUCCAUUUAGCACCCACCAUGGCCCUUGAGGCAGGCUCCCACUCUGUCACCUAGGUUGGAGUAUAGUGGCACGAUCUCAGCUCACUGCAACCUCUGCCUUGGGGGCUCAAGCGAUCCUCCCACCUCAAUCCUCUGAGUAGCUGGGACUACCGGCACGCGCCACCACAUCCAGCUAAUUUUUAUGUAUUCUUUGUAGAGACGAGGUUUUGCCAUGUUACCCAGGCUGGUCUUGAACUCCCGGACUCAAGUGAUCUGCCAGCCUCGGCAUCCCAGAGUACUGGGAUUCUAGGCGUGAGCCACCGUGCCCGGCCCACUGUGGGGUGAUUUCUGAGACUAAGGUGCAAUCCCUGCUUUCUGAGGUUCACUGUGUGGUUGGGGAAAAGAGAGAAGCAGGUUAUGUACAUGUGCACACAGACACCAUAAUCAAAUAGGAAGCCUUAAGAAAUGCCACAAGGAGCCUGGCAUGGUGGCUUACACCUGUAAUCCCAACAUUUUGGUGGCUGGGGCAGGAGGAUCACUUGAGCCCAGGAGUUUGAGACCAGCUUGGGCAACAUGGUGAAACCCUGUCUCUAUUAAAUAUAUAUAUACAAAAAUUAGCCAGGUGUAGUGGCAUAAGCCUGUAGUCCCAGCUACUUAGGAGGCUGAAGCAGGAGAUAGCUUGAACCCGGGAGGCAGAGUUCAAGGCUGCAGUGAGCCGAGAUUGAGCCACUGCACUUCAGCAGCCCCUGUGACAGAGCAAGACCCUGUGUCAAAAAAAAAAAAAAAAAAAAAAAAAGCCACAAGGAAGGGCCAUAUAAAGGGGAAAGAUUCUGGCCGGGAUGCAGGAGCUGUCUGCAAGUGACCAGGAUUCAGACCUACAGGGAUGGGAGAACACUGUGUGGGUGUGGCCAUCCUGCUAGCCCAGGAUGCAGGGACCCCCAGGUCCCUUCGGCCUGGCUGCAGCUGGCCUGCUUCAUAUGCCCCAGCGGUGUCGUGCAGCUGUUAAUCUCUCCUAUGACCCCGAAGCAGGAGAAACAGCAGGACUCAGGUGAGUUGAGGGGCCU